GUAUUUGCGUGCGCGCUUUGCUUGAGUUUAUUACUGUUGUUACUGGUAUUGUGACAACAAGCUCAGUGUGUAUGUGUGUGGAUUGUGCGUUGCCGCGUGGGUGUGUUUGUGUGUAUGUGUGUGUGUGUGCGUGUGUGUGUGUGUGUGUGUGUGUGUGUGUGUGAGACAGGACUGUGGAGUGGGAGGGUGAGAAAGAAAAAUAAAACGCAAUGGCAACCGGGGAAGACUAUUCCCGCCACCAAGCUCAGCUGUGGAACGAGUGAAGGAAGCAUUAACUUCGAGCAGGUCGACCUCGGCAGAGAGAAUUACAUCUCCCCUACGUCUCCUGAUCACGGUCACGUGACCGCAGCAGGAAAGGAACCACUUCUCCAGCGCUGCCCGCAGGUCUACGGGCCCAGUGCCAGCAUAUAGGUUCUCUCCAGUGUCCUCCAGGUCUGGGUUGUGGUUCCAGAUGCACUUGGCAGCGUAUCCCUCUGCCAGCAGCUUCAGUGUUGGGUCCCAUUUCUGAAGAAGCAGUGAGUGAGUAAAGGCUUCAAAGGACACGAGGCCCAACACCUGGCACCUAUGGUGAAACGACUGACUCAAAUGACUGACUGGGAGGAAUUCUGGAGUCUUGGAAACAUCCACCUCCUCGUGGUAUACACCACUCAGGCCAGUUUUAAAAGCAGAACACUUAUCGUAUGGCGCAUGAUUUGAGAGCGUUAACGAUGUAACAAACACACCAUUGUUACCUCUACCAGACCCCCACAGAAUGUUGUCUACAAUCACACCUGAUUUGAAAUACUUCACAGCGAUAAAUUUCGCAAAUGCAUUCUUCUGUGUCCCACUCACACUCGAGUGUAGACACUUGUUUGCAUUCAGAUAUCAUUGACACACUUUGCAAUACACUAGGUUGCAACAAGGCUUAAAAAAUUCACCUGGAAUUUUUAAUCAAUGUUUGAAAUCAUUGCUACAGGAGCUAAAACUUCCAUACGGAUGUAAACUCCUGAUGUAAGUUAAUGAGCUCCUGUUGGCAACCCCAAGAGCAGAGUCAUGCUUAAUGAUGUAACAAAGACACCAUUGUUACCUCUACCAGACCCCCACAUAAUGUUGUCUACCAUCACACCUGAUUUGAAAUACUUAACAGCGAUUGAUUUGGCAAAUGCAUUCUUUUGUGUCCCACUCGCACCCGAGUCACUCACACCUGUUUGCAUUCAGAUAUUGGGGACACAAUUUCAGUACACCAGGUUCCCACAAGGCUUCAAAAAUUCACCAGGAAUUUGUCAUCAAUGUUUGAAAUCAUUGCUGUAGGAUCUAGAGCUCCCAGAAGGAUGUAAACCCCUGAUGUAUGUUGAUGACCUGUUGGCAGCCCCAAAAGCAGAGUCGUAUUUGUCUCGAACUAAACUUGUUUUGCUUCGUUUGCAUGAGCUGGGAUUCAAAGCUUCCAGAAAGAAGCUUCAGUGUUGUCGCAAAUCGGUGACUUUCUUGGGCAGAGUGGUGUCAUCUGAAGGAUCCACUAUGUCCUCGGAGCAUCGUUCCUCUACAGCACAAACGUCCUGACACGGUGAAGGAGAUGCUUGCUUUUCUUGCAGGCACUAUCUUCCAUGCUUUGCAGAUCACUCCGCUCCCCUCAAACACAUUGUGAAAAACCAAGGUUACAGACACCUUGCUACCAAAUUGGAGUGGUCAGCGGAGUCCAUACCACUCUUGUACAUGAUCUCACAUCAGCAGCAUUUCUGGCUUCCCCGAAUUACACCAUCCCAUUUCACUGAGAUGUUACCGUCACACCUACCAUUGUGAAUGCUACUUUGUAUCAGAAGAGGGAUGGAAAGCGUCAUGUCCUGAUGUAUUGUAGCAUUCCACCUGAUCCACUUGAGGCCAAAAGCCCUGAAUGCACAAGGUUUGCAGCUUGCCAAAGUUAUCCAAAAAACUGCACACAUGGUAAUGUCAUGUCCCCUUCUGGUCCUUACUGACCACUUGGUGACUGCCUACGUUGCCUCAUCAGCAUUCACACUAUCUUCGUUGAGGCAAACACGCCUGUUUAAAAUUCUCACGGCAUCAAACAUCACAUAUGUACACACAGGCAUUAACAUGACUGACGAAUUGCAUGUAGACCCACACUGCUGUGAAAUUGGUGUAACUGAUGCUCUUCGUCCACGUGCUGAUCUCUAUGUCCAACCUCUGACUAACGGCAGAGUCCUGUUCACUGAUGGUUGCUGUUACCGUCAGCCGGAUGUCUCUUUGGCUGCGCCGGCUGCUGUAGUGGAGCAGCAGCCCUCAGGUGAAUUUUUAACUGUUUCCUCUUCCGUCCUAACAUCUGCUGGUGGUCGGGCAAUCUGUCACUCUCUAUUCUGACUUAUCUUACGCUGUCCCGGUGUUGGACCUGUCUGGAUGUAAUUGGAAUGACUUUAAAACAUCCAAAGGUGCUGCACAUUUGAAGAUAUUGCAUAUUUGAUACUGAUCCAACGAUUAGACAAAGCCAUGGCCAAACUUUCGGCGGUGGCUAUCGUCAAGUUCCCUGGCCAAACCAAAUCCACUUCAACGACAGCCCUCGGCAAUAAUGCUGCCGACUUGGCUGCCAAGCAGGCUGCGGGCUAUGUCCCACAGAUGCUUCUCCAAUUAUCUGACAAAUUCUCUCCUGACCUGCCCGAACCUCCGUCUCAUAGUGAAUUGGUUAAAAUACAGCACAAUGCCUCACCUGAACGAAACACUAUGUGGCAUGCUGGCGCAGCCACCCUUGCCCCGGACGGCCUCUGGUUAGGCCUCUAGCCAGUGUUACCUGAUGGACCUUUACUCCGUGAUGUUUUGAACGAAAGUCACUCUAUGGCUCAUAUUGGACCCAGAGCCGUGCUAACCAAACUUCGUGUGUGGUGGCAUUCUAAAAUGUCUGACUUGUUUCAUGCCCACUGUCGUCACUCUAAUAUUUGCCAGCUACACAAUGUUUGCCCCACCCUUAGACUGUUGCCAGGUUCUUUUGACCCACCCAGCUGGCCCAGUGCUGAACUGGUCAUGGAUUUCACAGAUAUGAUCACUCCUGUUCAAGGUAACCGCUACCUUCUUCUUUUUGUUGACACCUUUUCCGGAUGGCCUGAAGCCAGUAAUGAAAGCUUUGGUGAACCACUGGAUUCCAAUGCACCGUUUUCCCGCUCUCAUCCACUCGGACAACAGAACACAUUUCACAUCCACACACCUAGCUACUGUAGAGAAGUGGUUCGGGUUAACUCACCAGUUUGGUUGUGUUAUAUCAGCCCAUCAGUCAAGGUUCAGUUGAAUGUAUGAAUCGAACGUUGAAGGAAAAACUGUCUAAAACAUGUACCUCUUCCGGCCUGAACUGGGUUCAGGCUCUCUCUUGCUCUAUUGUCAGUGAGUGGUUUAUCUCCUUACGAACUUCUUGCAGGUCAUCUGAUGCCUGGGCCUUCCUCCUCAACCUCUGGAGGAGGACGUUGUGUCUCCAAAGUUUUCUCCAAGGUUUUGGACGCAACUGCAUUCUUUUGUUUCUAAUGUCUCCUUACAGAUCCAGGACUCUCUUCCAUCACCACCUCCUGCAGUUGAUUUUCCUGGGUGGUCAUCUGUCUCCCUUAAAUGACUCUCUCGUAAGUGGUCAGAACCCUGUUGGUCUGGCCCCCACAAGGUGACUGCUCAUAUCUCCAAAGCCAUCCUCUUGGAGGGAGAAGGAACUAAGUGGUUUAAUUAUUUUUUGCUUCGCCCUGCUACUGACUCUUAAUUGCACUUUUGUUUUAUUGUUUCUUGUUGUUUUAUUGUUCACCAUGAUUCCUCCCGAUGGUCCGAUUGCUUUUCGGACCAAAAGAGGGAGAGCAGGAAUCCAUGGCAUUCUUAUUAUUACUGUUAUUGUUGUGCUUGGUAUUUUGAUCUGGGAAAUCGCUCAAAAACACCCCAAACUCACACCCACAUCAGUGCCAUCUGUUAGCACAACCCAUCCGGAAAAUAUUUAUCACAAAGAGUCGUGUUAUAAAUAAAGCCCUAUCUGUUGAUGGUUUAAGGUUUUGACAAGCAUUAGCGCACUAAACUAUAAUUGGUUACUAAUGGCAAAACAAGCAGCUAAUGAAAACCUGAAUGACUGUGUUUUAUGUACGGGACUUAGACCUUUGUUACGUGUUGUUUCCUUUUCUCUCAACUACAUCUGUGUUCUAGAUCUUCUGAAAAAUUUGUGCUGAUUAAAAAUGAAUGCAAAAUUUGGGAUACUCCCCACCCGGUAACACGAGCCCACAAAAACAAAUCUGUGUUUCAUCGUGCUGCGGCGCGCCAAAACUUCACCUGUAUUUUCCUUAAAGGUAAUGGUGCCCCAAUUGGCAAUAUCUCUGAUGAUCAGUGUGCAGAGACCCAGGAAACACCUUUCUUUCAACCAGUCAGCCGUGCAGAUGUGUGGUGGUUGUGCAGAGGGGACCGUCUCAUCGACCGCCUCGCGCACAACAGCACGGGCAGAUGUGCAUGAGUAACUUUACUUUUACCUAUUUUCGUUGUGCCUGUCACCCUAGAUUAUCUGGCGGUUGCUCCUGAACACUUCAAGGAAGCCCUUGGCCUAUUACACUGUUCACAUCGGUCCAAACCUACCUGGCUCGAUGCUGACGACCCCACCUACAUUGAUGCUAUUGGCAUCCCCCGUGGUGUCCCAAAUAAACUGGCUGAUCAGGUAGUUGCCUGUUUUGAAAAUAUACCAGUAAUUUCCGCUCUGUUCCCUGUUACUCCUAACAAAAUUGUUGAGCGUGUCAAUUACAUACAUUAUAAUGUGCAAUGUUUGUGGGAUUUCACCCUUAAAUGACUUGAAGCUGUACAUGAGCAACUGAAGGCUCCAUCUAUUAUGGCUUUCCAAAAUAGACUCGCAGUAGAUAUAUGUUAGAUAUAAUAUAAGAUAGAUUGGCCGAGGAAUGUUGUGUUUGCCCAAUAACACCUAACCUGGCAGAUGCCUCACUAAAGCUGGAGAUGGACUUCGUACCCUGACAAAGAAAAUGAAGGAACACUCUGGUGUUGACACGUCUAUGUGGGAUAACUGGAAGAAUGUGUUUGGUAAAUGGAAGGGUGUCAUUUCAUCAAUCUUCAUCUCUCUGGCUGUCUUCAUCUCUAUUCUCACCCCCUGUGGAUGCUGUUGCAUUCCUUAUAUUUGUUCUCUUUUAACCCGUCUGAAUGAGAAGGCAACUGGUGUCCCAGCUGAUGGCCGCGGUAAUUAUGUCCUCAUUAGACCCCCGCCCGACACACUCCUCAAGAUGAUUUUCUGUUGCUGUCACUCCCCUUGACAAUGAUACUAAACUUCCACCACUUCCUGAUUGUCAUGAUGUUGACAUGCCCCGUGAUUGCAUUGUCCUUGCUCAUAUUGUGUGAUUAUUCUGUUCUACUUAUAUUUGAGUGUUGUUUUUUUUUUUAGAAACGUUGUUGUGUUUGAGUUGUCUAGCACUGUCCUGAAGGUUAAGGCACACGGGUGUUCUGAAUCAUGUGAUUGCGCACUUGCUACGAGGUAUGUUUGGAUGACUAGAGAGCGUUUUAUGUUUUCCAUAUUUCUUGAAAUUUUACUUUUGUGAUUUUUGUGUUUGUUUUUGUGAUCUAUUUCAUAGAUCAAGAGAGGGAAUUAAGACUAUUUUACUUUUAUUGUACUUUCAUUAUUUGCUUAAAUCUGACCUUAUACAUUUAAUCAACAGAUAAAGUGUUGUCCAUUUGCUAAUCAGACAAGGAUGUGUUGUGGAGCGCGGUGGCUGUGCUUGGUCUUUGUACGCAGAAAACCGGCUGGUGGCAUCCUCCUCUCUCAGGCCGUAGAGACAAACGACACCAGAUAAGGAGCGGAAAGUUACUAUCCAUGCCCAGGACCAGACUGUGUGUGGGUUAGGGGGGGGGGUCAGCCACUUUUACUAUGGACCCAUACAUAUAAAAACCUUGUGUUACCGAGCAGCUUUUGUCUUCUUCUUGGGUCAUCUUGUCAGAAGACACACAUCCUGUGUGCAGCACAUGCCUAGAUAAGACCCAGACGUCUUUACGGCACAUUCCUUUGUAAUAAAUCAAUUCGCUGUUAACUUUGUCUAAUCAUUCAUCAUCUCUUUCUCGAUCAGCGAACACGCGUAGGGUCCAAACUCGCAGAUCCCUACAUAAUUUUGAUUAAGAAAGAAUGGAGGACUUGAUACUUUUUUUUACUGAGGUCCUGUCCAAGCCUGUAUGUCUCAUUUGUCUAGAAACUGUUUCGGUUUUAAAAGAAUACAACAUCAGCCAUCACUUUUCUACCAAGCAUGCUAAUUACAGCAGCAACCUUUCCACACAAGAAUGUACGGCUAUCACUGACAGGCUAGGAGCUAGCUUGCGGGCUCAGCAAAACACUUUUAUUCAAGCAUCUUUCAUUCCAAGAAGCAAGCACGUAGACAAGUUAUUUACUGGCAUUCAAACAAGAAAAGGCCAACAAGCUUUUCUCUGAAUGCAUGAUAGAGACAGCAAGCAUUUUAUGUCCCGAGAUCAGGAAUAAAUUUUUAAAAAAUUGCUUAUCACGCAGGUCAGUGACUCGCCGUAUUGAAUUGAGGUACACUUAACUAGCAAGCUAAAACAAAAAAGCUGAGUCACUUACAUUAUAUUCUUUGGGACCCAUACAUAUAAAUGAUAUGCAAUGAUAUAAAGGACAUUGCUCAGCUUUUCAUUUUUAUCAGGGAGAUGAAUGAGAAUUUCGACACAACGGAGGAGUUUUUGGAUAUGGAAUCCCUAAAAGAAUAUAUACGUGGAGAGGAUUUAUUUAACAGCAUGUCAACGGUCAUACAGAAGCACAAGUUACCUUGGAGUACGCCUGCCAAGGUUACCACUGAUGGAUCACCAAAUCUGACUGAAAAAACAUUGGGAUGCUCAAGAGAAUUCAGGACAGGGUGAAAGAGAACAACCCUGAGCAGGAGGUGAUUUUUCGACACUGCAUAGUUCACCAGGAGCACUGUGUAAAUCCAUGUUGGAGCUUGACCACAUAUUUAAAACAGUUGUGACAUUUGUUAACUUUAUUCGAGCAAGGGGACUUCAUCAUUGUCCGUUUAUUCAUUUUCUUGAAGAAACUGACGCUGACCACACGAACUUACUUUAUCAUUCUAAUGUCCCCUGGUUAAGUUUAGGAAAAGUAUGUCAAUGUGUGUUCAAACGGAAUUAUUUCAUUUUUGGAGCUACUUGAGAAUACUGACAAUUUUUCUGAGCUGAAUGAUACAGAUUGGCUUUGUGUUUUAGCUUUUACUGUGGAGAUACUGACACACAUUUUAACGAGCUGAAUAUUAAACUACAAGGGAAAAUCCAGUUUGCUCAUGAAAUGCAAGAUAACGUCAAAGCAUUCAAAACCAAGCUGGUUUUAUUUUCUAAGCAAAUGUCAAACAAGUCAUUUACUCAUUUCCCCACACUGGCUACCUUCAAGGAGGCCCCAUGACGUGUCAAAAAUAUAGAGAAUCACUGGAUAACCUGCAUGAGGAAUUAUGCAAUCGGUUUUGUGAUUUUAGAAAAAUUGACAGGACACUUCAACUGUUGUGAUGUCCCUUCUCACACGACGCACAGGAGUUGCAGUUGGAACAGAUUGAUCUCCAUUGUGUCAUGAUGUUAAAGGACAAGUUAAACUCCCUGAAACUGGAUGGGUUUUAUGCUUCAUUAAGUGCAGCCAAAUUUCCAAACAUUCAGAAGAUGGCACAGAGGACGCUAGUGUUGUUUGGCUCUACAUAUUGUCACGUCCCAUCGGAACGAGAGCAGGACCCACAUGCAGGACUCGUAAGAUGCAAGGCAGUUCAAGGAGAAACGUCCAUUAUAUGCCAAAGUUGGGGAUCGAGCAGGCAGUCCGGUGCAGCAGCGAUAGCCGGGAUGCCGGGCGAAGAGAGCAGGCGAGUGGGCAGGCAGGAGUCGGUACACAGGGGAACAAUCAAAGCAGGCAGAAGAAUCAAAGGAGUCAGGCUUACAAGGGUGGUCGGAGAACGGGUGAAGGUCGGUACACACAGGUUCGAUCAGGAAUACUGGAGCACACGAACGGGACAUGAAGCUCAACGAACUGGCGGGGACCAAUCGUCAUCGGGGUGAUAUAAAUACAUAGACUAAUCAGCCCGCAUGAGACGCAGGUGUGCGCCCCAAUCAGCGCAUCCGCGCAGGCACCCGCACAGCUCGUGCUGGAGCGGCAGGAUCAUGACACAUAUGUUUGUGAACAGAUUUUUAGUGUGAUGAACACCAACAAACCACCCCAUACUGUAGAUCUCAGAUGAGUGAUGAACACCUCAGAUCUGUUCUGAGAAGUGCCACAACAAAAUUACCACCAGACUUUGAUGCAUUGGCUAAAAUGGGUGAUCAACAACACUGUUCUCAUUAAAAGAGGCAGCAUGGCAGAGGCACUCGGGAACACCUGCCCUCGGUAAUAAUUGUGGAGCUCAACCAGCAGCUCCUCCUCUUCCUCAUUGAGGAGGCUCCAGGUUCCAGGUGCCAACAGCGUGGCCAGCAGCA
Syngnathoides biaculeatus (alligator pipefish) is the source of this 8412-nucleotide long non-coding RNA. RefSeq lists it as uncharacterized. The transcript is spliced from 4 exons. Lineage: Eukaryota; Metazoa; Chordata; Actinopteri; Syngnathiformes; Syngnathidae. The record is from RefSeq and is a predicted model, not a curated record.